AGAGUUUGAUCAUGGCUCAGGAUGAACGCUAGCUACAGGCUUAACACAUGCAAGUCGAGGGGAAACGACAUCGAAAGCUUGCUUUUGAUGGGCGUCGACCGGCGCACGGGUGAGUAACGCGUAUCCAACCUGCCCACCACUUGGGGAUAACCUUGCGAAAGUAAGACUAAUACCCAAUGACGUCUCUAGAAGACAUCUGAAAGAGAUUAAAGAUUUAUCGGUGAUGGAUGGGGAUGCGUCUGAUUAGCUUGUUGGCGGGGUAACGGCCACCAAGGCGACGAUCGAGUAGGGGUUCUGAGACGGAAGGUCCCCCANAUUGGAACUGAGACACGGUCCAAACUCCUAGGGAGGCA
RNAcentral lists this ribosomal RNA (353 nucleotides) under uncultured bacterium. Its description in RNAcentral is "bacterial SSU rRNA". It matches the Rfam family "Bacterial small subunit ribosomal RNA", at positions 8 to 350 of the family's 1533-position model. The record is from RNAcentral.